Molecule: ribosomal RNA, 253 nt
Filed under: uncultured bacterium
Lineage: Bacteria
Description: partial 16S ribosomal RNA
Rfam family: Bacterial small subunit ribosomal RNA
Source: RNAcentral
UACAGAGGUCCCAAGCGUUGUUCGGAUUCAUUGGGCGUAAAGGGUGCGUAGGCGGCGCGGUAAGUCGGGCGUGAAAUCUCGGAGCUUAACUCCGAAACUGCAUUCGAUACUGCCGUGCUUGAGGACUUGAGAGGAGACUGGAAUUUACGGUGUAGCGGUGAAAUGCGUAGAUAUCGUAAGGAAGACCAGUGGCGAAGGCGGGUCUCUGGACAGUUCCUGACGCUGAGGCACGAAGGCCAGGGGAGCAAACGGG